This is a non-coding RNA of Manis javanica (Malayan pangolin), 9612 nucleotides long. Lineage: Eukaryota; Metazoa; Chordata; Mammalia; Pholidota; Manidae. The record is from RefSeq and is a predicted model, not a curated record.
CGGCGGCGCGCAGGCCGAGCGGCGCUUCCUCAGGCGGCCCGCGGCGGCGGCCCGAGCGCCUCACCCUCGCCGAGGUCGCGCGCCCCCUGCUCGGCCGGCCCCGGGCCCGCGCGGGAUCGUGCGUCCCCCCUCGUCCCUGAGGGGAAGGCACCGAGGCGGCGGCGGCGGCGCCCCGUCCCUCCCCCGCCGCACCCCGCCGGGCGCCAGAGGACAGCCGAGCCCCGCGGGCGGGCGGGCGGCGAAGAUGGCAGAGGCGCCGGCCUCCCCGGGCCCGCUCUCGCCGCUCGAAGUGGAGCUGGACCCGGACUUCGAGCCCCAGAGCCGGCCGCGCUCCUGCACGUGGCCCCUGCAGAGGCCGGAGCUCCAGGGCAGCCCGGCCAAGCCCUCGGGGGAGGCGGCCGCCGAUCCCGCGAUCCCGGAGGAGGACGACGGCGACGACGACGAGGACGGCGGCGGGAGGGCCGGCUCGGCCAUGGCGAUCGGCGGCGGCGGCGCGCUGGGCUCCGCGCUGCUCCUCGAGGACCCGGCGCGGCUGCUGGCUCCCGGGGGGCAGGACCCGGGGUGCGGACUCGCCCCCGCGGCGGGCGCGCGGAGCGGGGGGACGCAGACGCCGCUGCAGCCUCAGCAGCCACUGCCGCCGCCGCAGCCGGGGGCGGCCGGGGGCUCCGGGCAGCCCAGGAAAUGCUCGUCGCGCAGGAACGCCUGGGGGAACCUGUCCUACGCCGACCUGAUCACUCGCGCCAUCGAGAGCUCCCCGGACAAGCGGCUCACGCUGUCCCAGAUCUACGAGUGGAUGGUGCGCUGCGUGCCCUACUUCAAGGAUAAGGGCGACAGCAACAGCUCCGCGGGCUGGAAGAACUCCAUCCGGCACAACCUGUCGCUGCACAGCCGCUUCAUGCGCGUGCAGAACGAGGGCACCGGCAAGAGCUCGUGGUGGAUCAUCAACCCCGACGGCGGCAAGAGUGGCAAGGCCCCGCGGCGGCGCGCCGUGUCCAUGGACAACAGCAACAGGUACGCCAAGAGCCGCGGCCGCGCCGCCAAGAAGAAGGCGGCGCUGCAGGCGGCCCCCGACGCGGCAGACGACAGCCCCGCUCAGCUCUCCAAGUGGCCCGGCAGCCCCGCGUCGCGCGGCGGCGACGAGCCGGACGCCUGGACGGACUUCCGCUCGCGCACCAACUCCAACGCCAGCACCGUGAGCGGCCGCCUGUCGCCCAUCCUGGCGGGCGCCGAGCUGGACGACGCCGCGGAUGAGGACGCGCCGCUGUCGCCCAUGCUGUACGGCAGCCCCACCAGCCUGUCGCCGUCGGUGAGCAAGCCGUGCGCCGUGGAGCUGCCGCGGCUCACCGAUAUGGCGGGCACCAUGAACCUGAACGACGGGCUGGCCGACAGCCUCAUGGACGGCCUGCUGGACACCAUGGCCCUGCCAGCGGCACAGCCCGCGGCUGCGGCGCUGCUGCCGCGGAGCCCCGGCUUCCCCUACCAGGCCAAGGGUUCCGGCCUGGGCUCCCCGCCCGGCUCCUUCGGCGCCGCCGCGUUCGGGCCCUCGGCGCUCGCCUCCCUGCGCCAGUCUCCCAUGCAGACCAUCCAGGAGAACAAGCCAGCCACCUUCUCGUCCCUGCCGCACUACGGCGCCCAGACGCUCCAGGACCUGCUCACGUCCGACUCGCUCAGCCACAGCGACGUCAUGAUGACCCAGUCGGACCCGCUGAUGUCCCAGGCCAGCAGCGCCGUGUCUGCCCAGAACUCGCGCCGGAGCGUGAUGCUCCGCAGCGACCCGAUGAUGUCCUUUGCUGCCCAGCCUGCCCAGGGCAGUUUGGUCGGUCAGAACUUGCUCCACCACCAGCACCAAGCCCAGGGCGCGCUCAGUGGCAGCCGUGCCUUGUCAAAUUCCGUCGGCGCCAUGGGCCCGAGCGACUCCAGCAGCCUGGGGUCCGCCAAGCACCAGCAGUCUCCCGUCAGCCAGUCUAUGCAAGCCCUCUCGGACUCCCUCUCAGGCCCCUCCCUGUACUCGGCCGGUGCAAACCUGCCCGUCAUGGGCCACGAGAGGUUCCCCAGCGACCUGGACCUGGACAUGUUCAACGGGAGCUUGGAGUGCGACAUGGAGUCCAUCAUCCGCAGUGAGCUCAUGGACGCGGACGGGCUGGAUUUUAACUUUGACUCCCUCAUCUCCACGCAAAACGUUGUUGGUCUGAGCGUGGGGACCUUCACUGGUGCUAAGCAGGCCUCAUCUCAGAGCUGGGUGCCAGGCUGAAGGACCACUGAGGAAGGGGAAGUGGGCGAAGCAGAUGCCAAGACCGCAGAGGGACUCACUCUCACCAGAGACUGGGUGACAGCAUCCACAGAUAUUUCUAGAACACGUUCAUCAUCUGAUCUCCCCGUUUCAUCUUCCUCGCAUCAACAGCCCGAUUUCAGACUUCUCACUGGGCAGGGAGGGGACGGAUGUGCUCGGCCCCUGUUAAUGAAAGUCGCGGAUAGGAUGGGUCGUUCCAUCUGUUUUGUCACUUGGCCCGUCGCCUAGUAACUGCGGUGUGAUCGCUCCGAGUCCCUCCAGCUGCAUGCUUGCUCUUCCUUCCAAAGUUUCGCUUAGUCCAAUGGGUUUUUAAACUUAGAAGGGCAUCAACAUCCAUAAACCUCCCAGUUACCUAAAGUGUUUUACUCUAAACAGUGUAAGAGUGCCGAGAGCUUCAUUGAAAGCCAUGAAAUGUGAACCCACCCUACGUACCAGUCAGUCCCCGCAUCACAGCCGGCCUCUUGCCAGACGUGCUUCCUCUGUUCUCCCAGGGCUCGGUGAAGUCAGAGAAACGUGUGCAAAUGGAGCCACCAAACAAUGCUUAAAAAUCUAAGGCAGGUGAGGGGCUGCUCUCCUUAGGACUGUUUUCAGCCAAGAGGUCUUCCUCAGAGUGGUGAUUCCGGUGUUCCUCUUACAUGAUUAUAUUUAUCUUCCUUUAGUUUUCACAGCCCAUUUGCCCUCAGUUGUGGAGGAACCAGUUACCUCUGUCCUGUGGAGAAGGAGUCUCUGUAUUAAUUUUGUCCUCCGUGAGAGCUGCCUGUAGGCCUGGGCCUCUGUGCACCACACCUCCAGGCCCAGGCUGGCGCCCAAGCAUGCGGGGGGCGUCACUGGUGAGGCCCCGGGGAGUGCAGGACCGAGCACCCCGGGGUCCUGGGAACCAGCCGCAGCGGGGGAGAGAGCAGUGGGGAGGGCGGCCCCUCCUAAUGGGCGAACUCCCCCGAGGGGCCGGGCCCUCCAGUGAGGGAAGGGGCAUUUGGCAGGAGCUGUGGGUGGCAGUGCCCUAGGCAGCCUGGUCCGCUCAGGGUGCCGCGCUGGGACUCUGAGGUGCCCUCUGCUUGCGCCCCUCCUGUGCUGCCCCAGCUCCAGCAUUGGAGCAGGCUGCACGCCCUGCCUCUGCUCUCGGGGAGUGCGCUGAGUCACCUUCCCCAGCGCUGCACUGGGCCCAUGGCUGGAUAAUUAACACCAAAGGGAACCGGGGGUGGGGUGUGAGUUAGGUAAUGCCCUGCAGUUUCUCCCUGGGCACUUGCAGUAAGUUGUCCAGAUUGGGACUUGGGUGGUCGGUCCCCUGAUGCCUCACCGCAUAGUGAUGUUAGGGGUGGGUUACCAGGCGCUGCUGGAAAGGGAAACCCGAACCCCCUUGCACAGGACUGUAUCGCACCCUGCCCCUCAAGCCUCAGGGCGGGGAGAGAAGGGGAAGGGCGUGACCCCAGCAGGCAGAGUGCCUCAGAGGUGCUGCUCAGCUCUACUCAGCCUGCCUGCCCUGAAGCGACAAGCCGCUCUUGUACAGCCUGCGGUGAUGCUGCCCAGCACCUUACAGAGCAGAGAAACCCUCCGAGAGGCCACCAGCCGGGCGGCGGGAUCUGGGGGCAGGAGAAGGGCCGUCUCCCGCUCUGUUGCCCGUGCCCCUGCUGAAAGCCAGGGUCCUUCCUUUGGGGCCGUAACAGGGCUGCUGCGCCCAGGGCCUGUGGUGUGGCAGACACCGGGCCCCGCCAGCUCCUGCGCGUUGGGAGUGGGAGGAAGCGCCGGCCAGUCCGGCCGCAGAGGAGAUGGAGGUCACACGUACACACAUGUGCGACAGCUGCAGAUGGGUUUACAUGACGUUUCAUGGAUGGAGUGAGUGUGCGUGUGGCUGAGUGUGUUUGACUGCGUGUGGGUCUCUGUUUGUGAGCUCACUGAUGCUUCAGUGCCCAUCCACUUUAUCUGGCCAGAACACCGUGAGCUGCGGUAGCUCCCCGGCCACGCUCUGCAUUUCCUGGCCUGGAACCUGUGUUUUAUCUACCACCACAGCCGACACUGUGCCUGCGAACCGAAGGUCUCCUUCUGUAGGCCUGUCGCGUCCGCGCCUGCAGCCGCGUCUCUGAGUGUACUGCUCCUUCUCCAGUCCUCCAGCGUCCCUGGGCUUGGUGGCCGCAUGGUCUGUGGAAGACUUGUGUAAAUUCAGACUCUCCGAGGGGGCCUCUUUCGUGCCUUACAUUGAAGACUGGGGAAAAAUAAUGCUAAUUAUUAAAGGGAUGUUUUGUGGAUGUUUUUUGUGGCCAUAUGUGUGUGUGAUAUAGAUAUUUUCUGUAGAUUUUUAAUAUAAAAAGCAAAUUCGUAAGACAGCCCAUGUGGAGAUGAAUUACUCCUUUUUAGUGGGGGGGAGAAGAUUCCCCCACCCAGCGGUGCAGAUUAAGCCUUUGGAAAGGGGCCAGUUACACCUGGCCUGGUAUAGGAUUUGGGGUCCACACAGCCCCUGGGGGAGAACCAGAGAAGCCCAGCUGGUCCACUUAGGGUGACCAGCCCCCUGGCUUCAGCAGAGAAGUCCAGAGUCCCAUACGCCCUCCAGAAGGCUGGAGUGGAACUCGUCUGUACCCUGGGCAGCCUGCUGGCACACCCCCUGCUCGCCUUUCCCUGUUAGCCUCCAGACACGAGUGGCUCCACCUCCCCCAGGCUUUUCAACCUGAGAGCUUUUUGUGAUCAAGCACAGAAAUGAGGUGAGUAGUCUCCACUCUUUGUCCUGUUUGCAGACUCUUGAAGCUGGUGAAGCGAAGCAGACAGCUGCGCCCCGAGGCCCUUGGCUCAGAGCGGGGACCCUCAAACUGACACAAGACCUACAGAGAAAACCCUUUGCCAAAUCUGCUCUCAGCAAGUGGACAAUGAUACCGUUUACAGCUUAACGCCUUUGUGAGUCCCACACCAUGUUCCUAGCCCAGCGGAGACUGGUAACAGCCCCUGCCCCAGGGGAAGCACCCACCCUUGGAACAGGACCCUGUGCACAGUACGCAGAAUCUUCCUCUACGGGGCGAUGAGCCACCUGCCAGCGAAGGACCAUGCCCGGUCAGCACCCCGCCUCCUCCAGAGCACACCCGGAGCCCCCACUGGCUGCUGUGGCGGUUCAAUACUGCGAUGGGUUAUGGGAUGUUUUAAGUGUUGUUUUUGUGUUUGUUUUUCCUGACUUUGAGUUUUUCUCAUGCAUUAACUUGCAGUAUUUUUAUGUUAAAAUGUUGAUCAUCUUUCACGUGGCAGAUUUAGAAACAAGGAAACUGUACCCAUUACCAUUCUGGCUUUGGCGUCACGAGCACGGGGCCGUGGGACUCCGUCAUGAACUAACAAGCUGCACAAACUAGAGGGAGAUUGCUUUCUUCUUUUGUUUGUUAGAGAACUACUCUUUUCUAAAAACUGAGCAACAGCACACAUGUUGGCUGUGCACACAGUCAGGGACCGGGCUCUGCACAGGUGGAAGCAUCGGUGUGCUGCCUGGGCCGCACGUGUUUCAGCCCCACGUCGAGUGGUCGGGGGUCAGGCCCCCACGCCUGCUCUGCAGUUGCCAGACAAGUAGGGCCUGUCGCCUUCCGUCAGCAGCCUCAGCUAAUGCAGUGAGCAGUGAAGGGAUGUUGGUUAGAAACUAGAACCUGCUCCAGACAGAAAGGAGCUCAUCUGUCCACGCACUGCCAAAUGCCACUUCAGGGUUUACUUUUAAAGAGGGAAAAAAGUCCUAUUUUGCUUUGCAGAAGAAAUGAACUUCCAGGUGAGCAUUAAACCUGCAGUGAGAAAUGUGUGAAAAGUACAAACCGAAGUCACUAUUUUCCUAAAUACACACCCUUGAUUACUUGCAGCCUUUCUGUGUAUGAUCUGAUCUGCUAGAUGUGUGACAGGCAGUAGCAUACAAAUUGAUUUUAUAUAUGUAUGUAUGUAUAUAUGUACAUAUAUAUAUAAGCUUAGACUGUAAUUGUACAAGUGACAAUGGAAGUACAAGAUAGGGCAGUUUUAAGGUUUUUUCCCCCACUUUCUUGCUUCUCUGGAUUUCAUUUUGUUUUCAAAAAGUCACGGUGCUGUGUAGGUGCUUCUGUUUGACCUGGAAAGUGUGAUUAUAUUAGUUACCCUCAGUAGACAGAGAGCUGGGAACACCUUUGGUAUGUAGGAAGCUGGGGUGACGAUGCUCUGACAGCACAGUGUAUGCAUACUUCUCCAAAGUGGUAUAUAAAGACUCUUUUCUUUGCAUAAAAGGCAUUAGACAUAUAAAUGUAUAAAUAUAUUUUAUCAUGUACAGUACAGCAACGGAGCAUUCUGCAUGGACGUUAGGAACACAGGCUGGGAUUCCACCACAGACCUCCCUGCACAAGUUCUCGCUGACGCUUGCACCGUGCAGUGGGCGCUGCCCCUUCCCCCGCCGCUCGCCACCAGGGGCCCUUGUGCACCUUUGCUUUGUGAUUCCUCUGGGGUGGUGGUGGGGGGGGUGGUAACAGCUCCUGCAUAAUGGAAGCUCCAUUUGGCAUUGUCACACGUCCCUCCUGCCCCGUUGGGGCUGUCGCUCAGUGGCCCUGUUGCUUUCACCCCACCUCGUACUGAUUCUGUAAAUUCUGCAGUUGUGAUUAUAGUAGACCUGUAGCAUAACGCCUUUUCUAAACUACACAUUUAUAAUCUUCAUUUUAGAAGUAUGUAUAAUUUUUUAAAAAUAUGUAUCCUAUUCACGUGGUCUGCUUGUCAGUGAGACAGGCUUUUGCUUACUAUUUUUUUUACAAUAACGCUGGCCACUUCUUGGUUCUUUGGUCGUCUGCUGGACACACACACUGUGCCGUGUCAGCGAAGGAGGCUGCCCCUCUGGGUCCCAACGUGGCACUGCCAGGUGAGGCUACAGUUCUGAGACGGCGGUGGCCACUGCAGGGAGUAGGGUGGGGGCGCCCAACACCAGGCAGAUCCCCAAGAGCUCCCCUGAGCUCAGAGAGACAGGCUAACAAGUAGCCAUUUGCCCUUGCAGUUUUGUAGACCCUGGGAGCAACUUUGGGAGUGAGGAAAGCCACCCUUCAUGGGUUUCAACUCCAACUGUUGAAUUCCUUUCAGAUUUGUGGUAUUUCUUUUUUUUUUUUUUCCUCUCAAUGUUUAUUAAAUUUCAGGCAGGCAGAAUGUCUUACAAAAUACCCCAGAAGCAGAUUGUAACUUAACCUAAAACAGCUGAGGGAGGGACUGAGGCGGUAGGAGAGCAGGCAGCCCAGAGCCCAUCAGGAGGGUGGACGGGGAGGAUACUGUGACUGCAAGAGCGUCUCCACGCGGAGUGUCGUUGAGAGCUGAGGUCAGAGCUGUCAGGAGCCAGCAUCGGCCCCAGGAGGGGGUGAGGCCGGAAUGGGAUGGGGCAGCAGCCCCACUCACCCUUGGCCACCCGGGCUUCCCGCCCAGAGGCCCGGCUCUGCUAGACUCGCCCACUGGGUUCUGAGGCGGGCAGACUGGGCAGAGGUGUGACCUCAGUCCUCUCACUUAGAGACCCUGCUUUCAGGAAGGGCCAGCUGCCAGCCACCAGGUGCGUGCUGAGGGUCAGGGGUCCCUCACAGUGAGUGUUCUGACCUGGAGCAUCUCUACAGAAUAUUUAGUAGCCCCAGCGAGCCUGGAAGCUGUGACGUUUGCAUCCCGAUGAGCUCUACCCAAGGUUUCUGCCAGCCUCUAAAUAAGCUGCCCCAGGGUACCUUCUACUUGCUGGUGGGAAAUCAGAAAGAGGACUGGUGUUGAAAGUGUGACAGGCACCCCAGGGCUCUGGUUCUCUUCAGGACUCCAAAACCCGGUACCUUUUACCAAAGUCAGAAAAGAGCUUUAUCAUAAGCCCUCACUGUCCUGGUGUGAGGCCUAAUUGCCAGGGUUGGUGAACCCCAUGAACUGUGAAUGAAUUGGAGGUUGGCUUCCUUUAUUGCAUCCUCUACAAUAUAAUGAUUGCUGAAACACGUAUUUUUUUUAACUUUAAGAAGUUCGUCUUUCCCAGUGGGAGGAGCUGCACACAUGUGGAAGACAAUAUGAGAGUGUGUGUGUGCAUGUGCGUGUGUGUAGUGGUGGGUUCUGGUGCGUGUGUGUGUCGCUUUCCCACCCUGAGGGAGGAGGCUCACUGCUCGGGACCUGCGUGUGCCCAGCUUGCGGUGUCCUUUCAGGUGGCUUCUGAACUUGCUAACGAUGCUGGGAGCAGACCUUAUCUCUACCUAAGGAGCCCUGCUUAAAGGAUAAGGGAACCCCGAUCCCUUGGGAACACCAGUCCAUUGCACAUGCUGAUGCCACACGCUGUCAGUGGGGAACUAAAGUAUGACCCUUUUUCUCUGAAAGCAGAAACAAAACCCUACAUCUCUGAACUCGGAUUUCGUUUUUCUUGCUGUAUUUAGGGAACACUAUAUGAUUAGGCAUAAUUUUUUUUUAAUUAAGAAAAGCAAACUUUUUUGUAGAAAAGCAAUCACUGGGAAAGAGGUACGAGAAAGCCAGCCUGCCCCGGAGAUGGGGGCGGGGGAGCACCACGGCGGGAGGCGAAAUCCCGGCUGUCACAUCCUAACGGCGGUGCCCAAGGGACUGAAACAAGUACAUUUGAUCCAGAUCUUUGGUGGGAAUAUUUUAUGCAGUUUGAAUGAGUGAACUAUUUCCCUCUUGUUUAGUUUUAUUUAUGUGUGGGUUUAUUUUUCUUUCUUCUGAUGAAUGAUUGGUUCUGAGGCCUCUGCCACACUCCAGAAAUACUAGUGCGGCUGCUUUAAAAACCUGUGUGCCUGGUCACUUCCUCCUCCCCAGUUAUCUCACUGCCUGGCAAUCAGUCCUUCUCUUGUAUAUUUGUCCCAGCACGUUAUGUACACAGGAAAUGUAAACAGGUGUGAAGGAGGACCAGAAAAAUUAGUUAAUAUUAAAAAAAAUGUAUUGUGAAUUUUGGCUUCACAUGUUUAACUUUUUUUUAAGAAAAAAGUUGCAUGAAUGGAAAAAAAUCUGUAUACAGUAUCUGUAAACCUGUCAUACCUGUUUCAGUUCCUCGCUCACACCCCAUACAGACUGUGAUUCAGUGCGGUGCAUGGCCAUACGCAGCCCCUAGGAGUCAGGCAGGCGAUACUUUGGUUUGAAGCGCCUCAUCCUUUCUUUCAGGGCGAACACUACCAUGUUGCAUUCUCCCUGAGGAUUUUGUCUAACCGUAUGUCGCCAUGAAUUAACUCUACCAUCUUUCUUUUCAAGAAUCAAAACCAGUUUGAUUUGGGAACCUUCCCCUUUCCAAAUGAAAUGGAGAUGCAGUACUUUCCUCAGUGUCUGUAGAUAUUGCCUUGUGUAUUCCAUUUAAAGCCAUCAUCUAGUUUGUAAAGGAUGGUGACGCAUGUAAAUAAAGCAUCAGUGACCUUCUG